GGAAAUAAGGCUUAAUGGUAGAGUGCUUGCCUAGCAUGCAUGAGGCCCUGGGUUCGAUUCCUCAGUACCA
RNAcentral lists this transfer RNA (70 nucleotides) under Dipodomys ordii (Ord's kangaroo rat). It matches the Rfam family "tRNA". From Rfam's summary of the family: Transfer RNA (tRNA) molecules are approximately 80 nucleotides in length. Their secondary structure includes four short double-helical elements and three loops (D, anti-codon, and T loops). Further hydrogen bonds mediate the characteristic L-shaped molecular structure. tRNAs have two regions of fundamental functional importance: the anti-codon, which is responsible for specific mRNA codon recognition, and the 3' end, to which the tRNAs corresponding amino acid is attached (by aminoacyl-tRNA synthetases). tRNAs cope with the degeneracy of the genetic code in two manners: having more than one tRNA (with a specific anti-codon) for a particular amino acid; and 'wobble' base-pairing, i.e. permitting non-standard base-pairing at the 3rd anti-codon position. The record is from Rfam by way of RNAcentral. Lineage: Eukaryota; Metazoa; Chordata; Mammalia; Rodentia; Heteromyidae.